UAACCAACUACCCACUCAACCCUAGGGGACCACUAUCAUUCUAAAUGGGGACCACCAUCAUCCUAACCACACAUCCCAUCAAUCAACGGUUAAAAAUUUAUGAGUACAAGGGGGUCUAUACUCAUAAGAGUAUAGUAUAGUAUAGUAUAUAUAUAUAUAUAUAUAUAUUUUCGAGCUUUUCGAGCUUUUCGAGCCUAAUUCGAACGAGCCGAGUAAUACUCAAGCUCGGCUUGAAAUGAAUUUCGAGCCUUUUAUUUUGUUCA
Molecule: long non-coding RNA, 263 nt
Filed under: Ananas comosus (pineapple)
Lineage: Eukaryota; Viridiplantae; Streptophyta; Magnoliopsida; Poales; Bromeliaceae
Description: long non-coding RNA (ACOM_LNC021978)
Source: RNAcentral